GUUUGGCGACUGCAACAGUGGCGGCAAACGAGCGGCGGUGGUGGUGUGGCUCGGUGGGUUUCACGGCGGCGACGAGACUAGAGUCCGCCGCGACGGCAGACGAGCGGCGGUGGUGGUGCUUGGUCCGACGAGUUCACGCUCGGGUCAGGUUACGGGUCUCGGGUCAGUCGUGGUUCGGGAGAUUCGGAGUACACCGGGAGACCGCAACCAUCGGAGACGAAUUCGUCUCCGGAGUCGAGUCGGAAGUUCAGUGACUUCUGUUCGUUUUGGGGUCGAGUCAUGGAGUUAAUCAUUUUGUUCGUUCCUUGGAAUUUCUCAAUCUUUACUCGUGCGUUAAUUCAAGAAAUUCUCAUACGCAACCAAGGAUUGUGACAGAUGAAUCUAGUAGGAUUGC
This 394-nucleotide long non-coding RNA is filed under the name Helianthus annuus (common sunflower). RNAcentral's name for it is "sRNA HanXRQr2_Chr07g0301781". The record is from RNAcentral. Lineage: Eukaryota; Viridiplantae; Streptophyta; Magnoliopsida; Asterales; Asteraceae.